RNAcentral lists this ribosomal RNA (468 nucleotides) under uncultured bacterium. RNAcentral's name for it is "partial 16S ribosomal RNA". It matches the Rfam family "Bacterial small subunit ribosomal RNA", at positions 28 to 507 of the family's 1533-position model. The record is from RNAcentral.
GACGAACGCUGGCGGCGUGCUUAACACAUGCAAGUCGAACGGAAAGGCCCUGCUUUUGUGGGGUGCUCGAGUGGCGAACGGGUGAGUAACACGUGAGUAACCUGCCCUUGACUUUGGGAUAACGUCAGGAAACUGGGGCUAAUACCGGAUAUGAGCUCCUGCUGCAUGGUGGGGGUUGGAAAGUUUCGGCGGUUGGGGAUGGACUCGCGGCUUAUCAGCUUGUUGGUGGGGUAGUGGCUUACCAAGGCUUUGACGGGUAGCCGGCCUGAGAGGGUGACCGGCCACAUUGGGACUGAGAUACGGCCCAGACUCCUACGGGAGGCAGCAGUGGGGAAUAUUGCACAAUGGGCGGAAGCCUGAUGCAGCAAUGCCGUGUGCGGGAUGACGGCCUUCGGGUUGUAAACCGCUUUCGCCUGUGACGAAGCGUGAGUGACGGUAAUGGGUAAAGAAGCACCGGCUAACUACGUG